CCUACGGGAGGCUGCAGUGGGGAAUAUUGGUCAAUGGCCGUAAGGCUGAACCAGCCAAGUAGCGUGAGGGAAGACUGCCCUAUGGGUUGUAAACCUCUUUUAUGCGGGGAUAAGGGUGUCCACGUGUGGAUGUUUGCAGGUACCGCAUGAAUAAGGACCGGCUAAUUCCGUGCCAGCAGCCGCGGUAAUGCGGAAGGUCCGGUCGUUAUCCGGAUUUAUUGGGUUUAAAGGGAGCGUAGGGCGGGCUUUAAGCGUGCCGGGAAAUUUUGUGGCUCAACCAGGAGAGUGCAGCGCGAACUGGAGACCUUGAGUGCGCGGAAGGCAGGCGGAAUUCGUGGUGUAGCGGUGAAAUGCUUAGAUAUCACGAAGAACCCCGAUUGCGAAGGCAGCCUGCCGCAGCGUUACUGACGCUGAAGCUCGAAAGCGCGGGGAGCGAACAGGAUUAGAUACCCUGGUAGUC
This 460-nucleotide ribosomal RNA is filed under the name uncultured bacterium. Its description in RNAcentral is "partial 16S ribosomal RNA". It matches the Rfam family "Bacterial small subunit ribosomal RNA", at positions 338 to 795 of the family's 1533-position model. The record is from RNAcentral.